AUUGAACGCCGGCGGCAUGCCUUACACAUGCAAGUCGAACGGUAACAGGUCUUCGGAUGCUGACGAGUGGCGAACGGGUGAGUAAUACAUCGGAACGUGCCCGAUCGUGGGGGAUAACGAGGCGAAAGCUUUGCUAAUACCGCAUACGAUCUACGGAUGAAAGCGGGGGAUCUUCGGACCUCGCGCGGACGGAGCGGCCGAUGGCAGAUUAGGUAGUUGGUGGGAUAAAAGCUUACCAAGCCGACGAUCUGUAGCUGGUCUGAGAGGAUGAUCAGCCACACUGGGACUGAGACACGGCCCAGACUCCUACGGGAGGCAGCAGUGGGGAAUUUUGGACAAUGGGCGAAAGCCUGAUCCAGCCAUGCCGCGUGCAGGAUGAAGGCCUUCGGGUUGUAAACUGCUUUUGUACGGAACGAAAAGCCUCUUUCUAAUAAAGAGGGGUCAUGACGGUACCGUAAGAAUAAGCACCGGCUAACUACGUG
RNAcentral lists this ribosomal RNA (482 nucleotides) under uncultured bacterium. RNAcentral's name for it is "partial 16S ribosomal RNA". It matches the Rfam family "Bacterial small subunit ribosomal RNA", at positions 30 to 507 of the family's 1533-position model. The record is from RNAcentral.